GUCAAGUAGUUUUGUGGGUAGAAAUUUGACCUUUAACAUGAAUAAAUGAAGUUUUGCGGCGACGUGAAGGGAUAGAGGAUGACACAUUUGAUUUUUAUAUUGGUUCACCUUUAACGAGGCUACUCCAAUCCACUCCACCUGAGUGAGUUUGCCUUCCACCUCAAAGACUUAAUCCAAUAAUCUAAAAAUAUUACAACAACCAAGACACUGACUACCUGUCAAUGACUCCUUGAGAAUUCUGACUUCAACAAGUCCCCGAAGAAGAUUUUCAACCCUUAAUCUAGAGAGAUUAAUCAAAGCCCUUUGUGUUACAGUUUUCUUCUUAGUAAGCAGAUUACACAAAUGAUUUUUUGAGCCCUUGAUACUUAGUAUUUUUUCCUAAGUAUUCUAUACAAAAGAUUUACAAAGAAUGAAAGAACUUGUAUGUGCAAGUAUGUAAUGCUUGUUGAAAAUUGAUGGCAAAGAUCUUCUUCCAACGUCUCUUUUGAUCAUUGACUUUAGUUGAAAAUUAUCUUUGAAGCUUAGUCAAGUCAUUGGUCGUUUCCUGUUGUCUGAGAUUACUUGGAUUAAUAACUGAACAUCUCGCAUAGAGUCUGAAAUUCAACACUAGUGACAUAACUCAAACUUCACUCAUUCAGAGUCUUCAUUUACUUCAGAGUCGGAAUCUCACUUUGUUCAGUGUCCUUUAUGUGAGGCCUUCUAGAAUCUUCGGAUCCAACUUACACUAAUUUUCUGCACAUUUAACAAACACUUUAGUGCAUAAAAUUGUUCUCUCAUAUUUUGUUAUCAUCAAAACUCCUGAGUUAGAUAGUUGCAGAACCAACCUUGUUCCAACAAAAAUUGUACUAAGAGAAAACCCCUUUGUUCACUCUCUUAUUUUUCUAUGAAUAAAUCAGAGUCUAUUUAUUGAAAAAU
Molecule: long non-coding RNA, 915 nt
Filed under: Trifolium pratense (red clover)
Lineage: Eukaryota; Viridiplantae; Streptophyta; Magnoliopsida; Fabales; Fabaceae
Description: long non-coding RNA (TPRA_LNC002021)
Source: RNAcentral